RNAcentral lists this ribosomal RNA (497 nucleotides) under uncultured bacterium. Its description in RNAcentral is "partial 16S ribosomal RNA". It matches the Rfam family "Bacterial small subunit ribosomal RNA", at positions 28 to 507 of the family's 1533-position model. The record is from RNAcentral.
GAUGAACGCUGGCGGCGUGCCUAAUACAUGCAAGUCGAGCGAACGGACGAGAAGCUUGCUUCUCUGAUGUUAGCGGCGGACGGGUGAGUAACACGUGGAUAACCUACCUAUAAGACUGGGAUAACUUCGGGAAACCGGAGCUAAUACCGGAUGAUAUUUUGAACCGCAUGGUUCAAAAGUGAAAGACGGUCUUGCUGUCACUUAUAGAUGGAUCCGCGCUGCAUUAGCUAGUUGGUAAGGUAACGGCUUACCAAGGCAACGAUGCAUAGCCGACCUGAGAGGAUGAUCAGCCAAACUGGAACUGAGACACGGUCCAGACUCCUACGGGAGGCAGCAGUGGGGAAUCUUCCGCAAUGGGCGAAAGCCUGACGGAGCAACGCCGCGUGAGUGAUGAAGGUCUUCGGAUCGUAAAACUCUGUUAUUAGGGAAGAACAUAUGUGUAAGUAACUGUGCACAUCUUGACGGUACCUAAACAGAAAGCCACGGCUAACUUCGUG